UGGAUCAUGUUGUUUAAUUCGAUGAUACGCGAAGAACCUUACCAGGACUUGACAUCCCUCUGACAGUCCCUUAACCGGGAUCUCCUUCGGGCAGAGGUGACAGGUGGUGCAUGGUUGUCGUCAGCUCGUGUCGUGAGAUGUUGGGUUAAGUCCCGCAACGAGCGCAACCCUUGUCUUUAGUUGCCAUCAUUUAGUUGGGCACUCUAGAGAGACUGCCGAGGAUAACUCGGAGGAAGGUGGGGAUGACGUCAAAUCAUCAUGCCCCUUAUGUUCUGGGCUACACACGUGCUACAAUGGCUGGUACAAAGAGACGCAAGACGGUGACGUGGAGCAAAUCUCAAAAACCAGUCCCAGUUCGGAUUGUAGGCUGCAACUCGCCUACAUGAAGUUGGAGUUGCUAGUAAUCGCAGAUCAGAAUGCUGCGGUGAAUGCGUUCCCGGGUCUU
This 445-nucleotide ribosomal RNA is filed under the name uncultured Eubacteriales bacterium. RNAcentral's name for it is "bacterial SSU rRNA". It matches the Rfam family "Bacterial small subunit ribosomal RNA", at positions 933 to 1382 of the family's 1533-position model. The record is from RNAcentral. Lineage: Bacteria; Bacillati; Bacillota; Clostridia; Eubacteriales.